CAUCCACAAUUUCACUACUUAAAAUAGCUAUUUCAGUUGUAAAUAACAAGCUCUAUUUUCUCUCCAUAUUGUGUCUUAUUCUGGGAUAGUGAACAAGGCCUUAAAUCUUUGCCUGGACUGUUUUUCUGGAGUGGCCCUGCAGCCACCUUCCCUUGAAGAGUUCAGGAGAGAGAUGCACAGGAGACAAGAUCAAAUGCAAGCUCCUCUCAUGAGGCUCUCAACUGGCAUGCUCAGAGUGACUACAGAGAGAGCUGCAUGCCACCUGCUGAGAGACCAUGGAGACACUGGAGUGAGCAGGGGCCUGAAUCCCAUCUCUAUGGCUUGUUUUCCCUUGGUUAGGAUGCAACCUUACUGGGCUUCAGUUUUCUCUUCUGUAAUAUGGGAGUAUCCUAGGCUCAUUCAGAAGACUUGGUUUCCAUGUUUAUUGUCCAUCUUCUUGUAGUUAGAAGUACAGUUUUUGAGGAAUGUCUUAUUUUCCAUCUCUUUUCAGCCCUUAGAAUUGUGUUUGGCACGUGGUAAAUGUUUAAUGGAGACAUGUGACCAGCUUAGUAAUUAAAUCACAUAGUGCAUAUAAAAUGCCAGGUGGCAUACCUGGAACAGAGCAGAAGCCAGUGCAAGCUCAGCGUGGGAAGCCCUCUGGAGAAAGCUCAGG
Molecule: long non-coding RNA, 652 nt
Filed under: Homo sapiens (human)
Lineage: Eukaryota; Metazoa; Chordata; Mammalia; Primates; Hominidae
Description: HSALNT0306133
Source: RNAcentral